This 406-nucleotide ribosomal RNA is filed under the name uncultured bacterium. RNAcentral's name for it is "partial 16S ribosomal RNA". It matches the Rfam family "Bacterial small subunit ribosomal RNA", at positions 29 to 526 of the family's 1533-position model. The record is from RNAcentral.
AUUGAACGCUGGCGGCAGGCCUAACACAUGCAAGUCGAACGAGUGGCGGACGGGUGAGUAACGUCUGGGAAACUGCCCGAUGGAGGGGGAUAACUACUGGAAACGGUAGCUAAUACCGCAUAUCAUCGGAUUUGCCCAGAUGUGAUUAGCUAGUGGGGGGGGUAACGGCUCACCUAGGCGACGAUCCCUAGCUGGUCUGAGAGGAUGACCGGCCACCCUGGAACUGGGACACGGUCCAAACUCCUACGGGAGGAGGAGGUGGGGAGUAUUGCACAAUGGGGGAAGGCCUAAUGCGGAAAUGCGGCGUGUAUGAAGAAGGCCUUCGGGUGGUAAGGUACUUUCAGCGAGAAGGCGUUACUCGCAGAGGAAGCGACGGCUAACUCCGUGCCAGCAGCCGCGGUAAUAC